This 76-nucleotide transfer RNA is filed under the name Candidatus Peregrinibacteria bacterium. RNAcentral describes it as "tRNA-Thr". It matches the Rfam family "tRNA". From Rfam's summary of the family: Transfer RNA (tRNA) molecules are approximately 80 nucleotides in length. Their secondary structure includes four short double-helical elements and three loops (D, anti-codon, and T loops). Further hydrogen bonds mediate the characteristic L-shaped molecular structure. tRNAs have two regions of fundamental functional importance: the anti-codon, which is responsible for specific mRNA codon recognition, and the 3' end, to which the tRNAs corresponding amino acid is attached (by aminoacyl-tRNA synthetases). tRNAs cope with the degeneracy of the genetic code in two manners: having more than one tRNA (with a specific anti-codon) for a particular amino acid; and 'wobble' base-pairing, i.e. permitting non-standard base-pairing at the 3rd anti-codon position. Lineage: Bacteria; Candidatus Peregrinibacteriota. The record is from RNAcentral.
GCCGCGAUAGCUCAGUUGGUAGAGCGCACCCAUGGUAAGGGUGAGGUCCCGGGUUCGAUCCCCGGUCGUGGCUCCA